GGGGAUGCAAGGCAUCGAUAAUAAAAUUUUUUAAAAGCGCUCGGGACGUGAGUUUUCAGCAGUCACGAAAAUCACGCUGAAAUUAAAAUAAGUGCAAACAACUUAUUAGCUAAAGUCAAGUACGCGUUUCGCGUUCCGGCUUUAGUGCCUGCCGUAGCUUAACAAAAGCCAUGGCCAUCCGCCCGGCGACUCCUGAUAACCGCAAGCGGGUGUCAUAUUUUCAGGAUAGGUUAAUAGGAUGUUCUUGCCUGUUAUCCAAAAUUAAAAAGAACUAAUCAUUGCCGAUUUUGUUCAGUUUCCACGGCGGUGAUGAAUAAACAAACUGAUCUAUUUCCGUAAAAACGCUUUUAAAAAUUUAUUAGACGCGGGUUCAACUCCCGCCAUCUCCACAU
RNAcentral lists this transfer-messenger RNA (392 nucleotides) under bacterium. It matches the Rfam family "transfer-messenger RNA". From Rfam's summary of the family: Bacterial tmRNA, also known as 10Sa RNA or SsrA, is named for its dual tRNA and mRNA-like properties. Its role is to liberate the mRNA from a stalled ribosome. The record is from RNAcentral.